This 464-nucleotide ribosomal RNA is filed under the name uncultured bacterium. RNAcentral describes it as "partial 16S ribosomal RNA". It matches the Rfam family "Bacterial small subunit ribosomal RNA", at positions 28 to 507 of the family's 1533-position model. The record is from RNAcentral.
GACGAACGCUGGCGGCGUGCUUAGCACAUGCAAGUCGAACGGAAAGGCCCAGCUUGCUGGGUGCUCGAGUGGCGAACGGGUGAGUAACACGUGGGUGAUCUGCCUCUAACUUCGGGAUAAGCUUGGGAAACUGGGUCUAAUACCGGAUAGGACAAUCGUUUAGUGUCGGUUGUGGAAAGUUUUUUCGGUUAGGGAUGAGCCCGCGGCCUAUCAGCUUGUUGGUGGGGUAAUGGCCUACCAAGGCGUCGACGGGUAGCCGGCCUGAGAGGGUGGACGGCCACAUUGGGACUGAGAUACGGCCCAGACUCCUACGGGAGGCAGCAGUGGGGAAUAUUGCACAAUGGGCGCAAGCCUGAUGCAGCGACGCCGCGUGGGGGAUGACGGCCUUCGGGUUGUAAACCUCUUUCGACAGGGACGAAGCUUUGGUGACGGUACCUGUAUAAGAAGCACCGGCUAACUACGUG